GGGGAUUUUUUUUUCUUUCUUUGUAAAACUUUUGAUAUUUAAGAUAAUAAAUAGUAGAUAGGAUGACAUAACAUGUGGGUAUAUUUGAUUUAUACAUGUAUUUGGUUUAGUAGAUAUGAGGUACCGGUACUGUAAUCUAAAUGAUGUACCAGUAGUAAAUUGUAAAAAUAGAUUUAAGAGAGAAAAGACAUUGAUAGGCACAACUGUCCAACAAAAUAGAAAAAAAU
This 227-nucleotide long non-coding RNA is filed under the name Mytilus galloprovincialis (Mediterranean mussel). The record is from RNAcentral. Lineage: Eukaryota; Metazoa; Mollusca; Bivalvia; Mytilida; Mytilidae.